GGCAGGGUGGCUCAGCUGGUUAGAGCGAGCGACUCAUAAUCGCUAGGUCGGGGGUUCGAGUCCCCCCCCUGCUACCA
Molecule: transfer RNA, 77 nt
Filed under: Rickettsiales bacterium
Lineage: Bacteria; Pseudomonadati; Pseudomonadota; Alphaproteobacteria; Rickettsiales
Description: tRNA-Met
Rfam family: tRNA
About the family: Transfer RNA (tRNA) molecules are approximately 80 nucleotides in length. Their secondary structure includes four short double-helical elements and three loops (D, anti-codon, and T loops). Further hydrogen bonds mediate the characteristic L-shaped molecular structure. tRNAs have two regions of fundamental functional importance: the anti-codon, which is responsible for specific mRNA codon recognition, and the 3' end, to which the tRNAs corresponding amino acid is attached (by aminoacyl-tRNA synthetases). tRNAs cope with the degeneracy of the genetic code in two manners: having more than one tRNA (with a specific anti-codon) for a particular amino acid; and 'wobble' base-pairing, i.e. permitting non-standard base-pairing at the 3rd anti-codon position.
Source: RNAcentral